RNAcentral lists this ribosomal RNA (447 nucleotides) under uncultured bacterium. RNAcentral's name for it is "partial 16S ribosomal RNA". It matches the Rfam family "Bacterial small subunit ribosomal RNA", at positions 330 to 794 of the family's 1533-position model. The record is from RNAcentral.
UCCAGACUCCUACGGGAGGCAGCAGUGGGGAAUAUUGCACAAUGGGGGAAACCCUGAUGCAGCGACGCCGCGUGAGUGAAGAAGUAUUUCGGUAUGUAAAGCUCUAUCAGCAGGGAAGAAAAUGACGGUACCUGAUUAAGAAGCCCCGGCUAACUACGUGCCAGCAGCCGCGGUAAUACGUAGGGGGCAAGCGUUAUCCGGAUUUACUGGGUGUAAAGGGAGCGUAGACGGCGGCGCAAGUCCGGAGUGAAAGCCCACGGCCCAACCGUGGGACUGCUCUGGAAACUGUGCGGCUUGAGUGCGGGAGGGGCAGGCGGAAUUCCUAGUGUAGCGGUGAAAUGCGUAGAUAUUAGGAGGAACACCAGUGGCGAAGGCGACUUUCUGGACAGUAACUGACGUUGAGGCACGAAAGUGUGGGGAGCAAACAGGAUUAGAUACCCGAGUAAA